This is a non-coding RNA of Phalacrocorax carbo (great cormorant), 952 nucleotides long. The record is from RefSeq and is a predicted model, not a curated record. Lineage: Eukaryota; Metazoa; Chordata; Aves; Suliformes; Phalacrocoracidae.
GAUUGAGGAAGCUCAGAUGUAUCUCAAUGUCUUUGCUGCUUCAUCUGUGUCUGCCAAUAUAAGGAAACACUGCAAAGAGGCAGAUUUUCUUGUUAGCUUACUAGCUGCAAAUGCUAGAUCUUUUUUUACCUUUUAGUGCUGACGUGCUUUUUUUUUCCCCAGCUAUGACAGAAGAGGUAACAUAUGCCAAUCUGAAAUUUGAAAACCAUGAGCUGGAUAUUAUCACAAAGCCUGCAGAUACUAAGGAAAAAGGGCCUCCCACUUCAUCCCGCUUUUGCUGGCCAGUAGUCCUGAUUUUGUUCACACUGUGCCUGACAUUGCUGAUGGCGAUGGUGACCCUGACAGUUUUAUUUUUCCAGAUUCCCAAGGACUACAGGACACAACUUAGAGACCUCAACAUGACAAAGAAUGAGCUGCAUGCAAAUUUCUCGAAUAUGCUGCAAGCAAUAGGAAAUCAGCUGUGCUUGGAAGGGGAAAAAACCCUUAGAAAUAAUGGCCAGAACUGUGUUCUCUGCCCUGCAAACUGGAAGUGGGAAGGUGGCGAUACAUGUUACUACCACUCUGAGGAAGAGGUGUCAUGGGAACAGAGUCACUCGUUUUGUUCCUCACAAAACUCUUCUCUUCUUCUGGUAAAAGAUGCAUCAAAGCUGGAACUGGUGAAAAAAUUUCCUGGAAAAAAAUACUGGCUUGGAUUAACAUUUAGAAUUAAACAGAGAGACUGGUAUUGGGCAGACAACACAGCUUUUACAGAAGAACAAAAGUCUUGGGCAACGCUUACCAAUGUCUUCCAAACCUGUGGAUAUUUUUAUUAUACUGCCAUAUAUAACACACUAUGUAAGAACAAGCUUCGCUAUAUCUGUGAAAAGCCUGCGAUUGAGUUACAGAGAGGUAACAACCACUGGCAGGACUGGUUUGUCAGACCAAAAUGAUUAUGAGAAGCUAGAAGACAUUC